CUUGACAUCCAGAGAAUUUAGCAGAGAUGCUUUAGUGCCUUCGGGAACUCUGAGACAAGUGCUGCAUGGCUGUCGUCAGCUCGUGUUGUGAAAGUUGUUGGGUUAACGUCCGCAACGAGCGCAACCCUUAUCCUUUGUUGCCAGCACGUAAUGGUGGGAACUCAAAGGAGACUGCCGGUGAUAAACCGGAGGAAGGUGGGGAUGACGUCAAGUCAUCAUGGCCCUUACGAGUAGGGCUACACACGUGCUACAAUGGCGUAUACAAAGAGAAGCGACCUCGCGAGAGCAAGCGGACCUCAUAAAGUGCGUCGUAGUCCGGAUUGGAGUCUGCAACUCGACUCCAUGAAGUCGGAAUCGCUAGUAAUCGUAAAUCAGAAUGUUACGGUGAAUACGUUCCCGGGCCUUGUACACACCGCCCGUCACACCAUGGGAGUGGGUUGCAAAAGAAGUAGAUAGCUUAACCUUCGGGAGGGCGUUUACCACUUUGUGAUUCAUGACUGGGGUGAAGUCGUAACAAGGUAAGCGUAGUGCU
Molecule: ribosomal RNA, 532 nt
Filed under: uncultured bacterium
Lineage: Bacteria
Description: bacterial SSU rRNA
Rfam family: Bacterial small subunit ribosomal RNA
Source: RNAcentral